Molecule: long non-coding RNA, 4362 nt
Filed under: Marmota monax (woodchuck)
Lineage: Eukaryota; Metazoa; Chordata; Mammalia; Rodentia; Sciuridae
Source: RNAcentral
AGAAUUUUUUUUUUUUUUUUUUUUUUUUUUAGGUACUGGGGAUUGAACCCAGGAGCAUGCAACCACUGAGCCACUUCCCCAGCCCUUUUAUAUAUUUUAUGUAGAGACAGAGUCACACUGAGUUGCUUAGGGCCUUGCUAACUUGCUGAGGCUGGCUUUAAACUCUCCAUCCUCCUGCCUAAGCCUCCCAAGCUGCUGGAAUUACAGGAGUGUGCCACCACACCUGGCUGAUGUCAUCAUCUUGAAGUGAAAAUUGUCUCCUCACCUGUGGACCUAACCAUUGAUUCUGUUCUAAGGAAAGUGACUGAAUGCUGUUGACACAGUUCUUUAUGAAGAUCCCUGAGGAAUAACUUGUGCUUCUUACAACCAGAACCACAAGCCUUUCUGCUAAGCAGUAUUUUGCUUUCACAGGAUGUGCUCUAACAAUUGUGUAGUUGACCAGAUAGAGUGCCUUUCACACUGGACACUUGAAAAACUUAAUGCCAAACUUGGUUUCCCUCAGAAGCUAUUGUAAUAUAGGUCAUCAUGGUAAUUUAUCAUUUCAUUUGUACUAUUCUGUGUACAUGAUGGGGUACAGAUAGUUGGGAGCUAUUCUUUUUAAUAGAAUUGAUAGGACUACCACAAAACAGCCUAUUUUUUCCUGGAAUCUAACAGGAGAAAGUAUAUUGACCUUUUGCAAUUGAAAACAAUACUUUGUUGCCUCCUACUCAAAAAUGCAAUUAUGGUUUUUAGCGUUCCUACAGAUAUCAGUUUACCUUAUUUAUGUGUCUUUCUUUGUUACAAAAAGGGAUUUAAGUUCAGCUGAAUAAGCAGAUAUUAUUCUAAAUCACAGAAAUCAAAUGUCCUAGGUUAUUCUAUUCUAGCAUCCUGAUGAAUCAUUUGAAUGAAAUCUGAAAAAUGAACAUUAAGAGGUACUGUAAUCCUAAAAUUUUAGCACUAGAGGGACAUUAGAAGGUGUGCAUGGGGUGGAGGGACCAAGAGGGACUGAAUGACUAUAAUCCCAAAGUUAAGAAAGAACUAUUAUUCAAAUGUUAUUUGAAUCCAGAUGUAGUCCACUGUUCUUAACUUUUCCCUAUGGUCCCUUUCACAUCUCCAUCGUUGCCUGCUCUAAUAUGUGGUUCUAAAUUUUUUUUUCCCCAGACCACUGGUCUCAUAAUAGAUAUCAAGAUCUAUACUACUAAUACACAGAACUUAUUAAGCUUUUCAGAUGUCACAGAGCAUAACUUCAGCUGCAGCCAAGUGCUAAUGACAAAAGCUCUAGCAGUCAAGGAUGGCAGCAUGUCAUUUUAUGACAACACUUGGGGCUUUUCCAAUUUGGUGUUUAGAAUAUCCUGAAAGAAUCUAGUCAGGCUUUCUAAAUAUUAUUUUAAAAUACAAGUGUUAUGGUUUAGCUAUGAGGAGUCCCCAAAAGCUCAUGUGUGAGACAAUGCAAGAAAUUUCAGAGGUGAACUGAUAGGUUGUGGGAGCCUUAAGCUAUUCAGUACAUUAAUCCACUGGAAUGGACUAACUGGGUGGUAACUGUGGGCAGGCAGGGUGUGCUGGAGGUGGUGGGCCACUGGGGGUGUCUUUGAGGUUUAUAUAUUGUCCCUGCCGAGCAGAGGGGUCUCUCUCUGCUUCCUGGUGCCAUGUUCUGAGUAGCUUUCCUCCACCACACACUUCCACCAUGGUGUUCUGCCACACCACGGGCCCAGAGCAAUGGAGCCAGUUGUCUAUGGACUGAGACCUGUGAAACUGUGAGCUCCAAAUAAACUAUUUCCUCCUCUGAAAUUGUUCUUGUCAGGAUUUUGGUCACAGCAGCAAAAAAGCUGAUUAAAACAAGAAAUGUUAGAUACAGACCUUUUUCUGAGACAAAAUUUUGCUGUGUAGCCCAGGCCAACUUUGAACCUUGUGAUCCUCCUGCCUCAGCCUCCCCAGUGGCUAAUGAAGAUUGACUUUCUUGUCCUUGUGACUUUAAUAGUCUUGGUGACUUUUUUUUGGUCAAGCCGAUAACCUUAUAAGCCAAGGUUAUAGAUUUCUGUAAACCAGACUCCACGUGUUUCUCAGCAGCAGAAUCACCAUGCCACUCUCCCUUUAAAGUAUCUUUCAUCGUGGAAAUGAUGUGAGGAUGCUAAGCAGAUGGCUUUUCAUAGUACUUUUCUUAUACAAGCAACUAUUUCUUCAAGCUCAUUGUGGGCUGUAUACUUUUGAGUUAGGAGAUCAGUGGCUACAGAAAUAUGUGUAAACUUAAGCUCUGGGAUUAUAAAAUGUUGUACUUGAUGAUGCUUAAAAAAACUAUUCACUUUCUGGUCCUCCAGCAAGCCAGAGAUGUCCUACAUGUGCUAGUUGAGCCCUCUAUUAUGUUUUCCAUGUGUCCUUUCCCACAUCUUUGCAAGCCUCCCUGAAAAGGCAGAGAUAUAAAUAAAGAUAGAAAAGCACACACUUAGGAUAAAAUUUAGAAAUCCCUCAACAGAGAGUGUUCAAUAGGUUCCUGUUCCUUUUUUUUACUCUACAGGUUUAUUAUUGUUUUAUUGUUGUUAACCUGGAUUUGGGGGAUUUUUAUGUCUGAAUCAAUUUAAGGAUCAAUUUAAAAAUAAGACUUGAUGGAGGGAAGUUCUGACUUGAAAUGCACAAAGUCAAUCUCCUGAGAUUCUUUUUAAAGAUAAACUGUUUACUGGAAUCAUUACAAAUUAAUGUGUGCAUGCGUUACUUUAUGAGUAGAUACAUUUGAGCAAAUUUCAGUUGUUUUCCUGUUUUUCACAGUAUCCCUUCAUGUGCAUUUAAAUUUUUAUGAUGUGCAACAUUAGCUCUACAGAAUGCUUAAUGUUUGUGCAUGUCCAUAAGCUUAAAUUCCUUCUUGGAGGUUGAAUAAUAAUUGCUUGUCUAAUUCUCUUAUACCUUCAUACUAUGAGUUGCAAAUAUUUAAAAAUUUGGCAUUGUAAAGUUAGUUAUUCCCUCUUGUAACUGGGCUAGGAGAAAGUUAUUCUCUGAUACAAUAAAAAUUACUCCCUGUCUUUUGGGGAUUGAUUUCUAAAUUUGAAGACUGUGUCAGAGUUGUCUGGACUGUUUCACUGAAAUUUCAGCUUCUACAAAAUAAAAAUAAGUUUUGAACUAGUUUCUAGGUCACUGGCACAGAAAGCUGGCAAAAAAAAAAAAAAAAACCCUAUCGCUUAUUUUGGAUAGCCCAGUUAGUGUGAUCCAUCAGCACACACUGUUCUUUUAGAUUGUGAUUCAACUUUAAGAAAAAAUAAAAUGUAGGGAUUCCCAAAUGUCACCUUAUCCCCAAAAGUCCUUUUGCAUUCUUUCUCUGUAAUCUCAGACAUGAGUGAUUCUCCUCCAUUUUAGUAGAUCCCCUGAUUUGGGAGGAGGGAAGGAAAUUUCACUAGGUAUCAGUUCUAUAUUUUGCCUUAUUGAACAACUCAUAUUUAUUUGUUAUUUUAGGUAAGUUCCAAUUUUGGACCAGACAGCAGGGACUGUGGUUACAGUGGAAAACACACAAACUAGGUGCUGACAGCUUCCACCCAGCUUGACUUAAUAUGAACUGACCAUGGUCAAAUAUUUUAAGUUUUCUGAACCUCUGUUUUUGUGUAUAAGACAGAAAUAAUAACAAUUUCACAAAUUUGUUAUAAUUAAUAAAAAAUAAUAAUUACCUUAUUUUCAAUGUUGUAUAUGUAUCAGAAAGGUUGAAACUGUUAUUAUCCCCAUAAAGAAAAUGAGGCUAAAAUAUUAAAAAAGUCAUGGAGUAGCGUCAAUUUGCAAACCAGAGUCUGUCUGACAGACUUAAAUCCUAUGCCAUUCAUCCCACUUGGGUUGAGUAAGAUAUCCCAUCUGAAGCUACCUGGCUCUUUGAGGAAGUCAAUAUAUGUUAUUUCUGCCUUCCUUGGCAGAAAGAUUAUGUGCUUUACUGAAUGAACUCUAGUUUUUUAUGCUCAAUGAAUCUAUCACAAAAAUUUUGAUUUGCUGAGGAAGUUUUAAUAAUUGCUUUGUGCAAACCCUGCCUAUUGUUUUUCACAGCCAAAAAAAUGGCCUUUUAAGAACACAUAGACCUUCCAGGUAUCAUCCCAUUUGUUCUCGCAGCCCCUCCUCCACAGAGGAGCCUCUUAACCAUCAGUAGAAACCAGAGACCACCCCAGUGAUGGGAAAAGGAAAAAAGCCCAGGCUCAUACCCUCCAGCUGGCUGAUCUAGGAUUUAUGGAGUAGAGAAGUGUCUACCUUGUUAACCAACCGUGAAGUUUUAAAUGCAAAAUGUACCCUCUAAGACUCAAAAGUAUGAUUUCCAUUGAGUUCCCAUGAGCACAGAUGCUGAUCUUGGUAAUCACAUUUGCUGCAAAAAGGUCUUCCUCUAAUAGAAACACACUUAGAGCUGAUAAAAUAAAUGGAAAUGUG